AUACGGAAGGUCCGGGCGUUAUCCGGAUUUAUUGGGUUUAAAGGGAGCGCAGGCGGAGAUGCAAGCGUGACGUCAAAUUUCGGGGCUCAACCCCGUCUCGCGUCGCGAACUGCGUCCCUUGGUUGCGGGAAGGGGAGGCGGAACUCGUGGUGUAGCGGGGAAAUGCAUAGAUAUCACGAAGAACUCCGAUCGCGAAGGCAGCCUUCCGGCCCGUCAACGACGCUCAUGCUCGAAGGUGCGGGUAUCAAACAGGAUUAGAUACCCUGGUAGUCCGCACAGUAAACGAUGGACACCCGCGGUUUGGCCUGUAUGGCUGAGCCGCCAAGCGAAAGCGUUAAGUGUCCCACCUGGGGAGUACGCCGGCAACGGUAAAACUCAAAUGAAUUGACGGGG
This 393-nucleotide ribosomal RNA is filed under the name uncultured bacterium. RNAcentral describes it as "partial 16S ribosomal RNA". It matches the Rfam family "Bacterial small subunit ribosomal RNA", at positions 523 to 918 of the family's 1533-position model. The record is from RNAcentral.